RNAcentral lists this ribosomal RNA (323 nucleotides) under uncultured bacterium. RNAcentral describes it as "bacterial SSU rRNA". It matches the Rfam family "Bacterial small subunit ribosomal RNA", at positions 28 to 334 of the family's 1533-position model. The record is from RNAcentral.
GAUGAACGCUGGCGGCGUGCUUAACACAUGCAAGUCGAACGAGAAUCAACGGAUUGAGGAUUCGUCCAAAUGAAGUUGAGGAAAGUGGCGGACGGGUGAGUAACGCGUGAGGAACCUGCCUCGGAGUGGGGAAUAACAGUUGGAAACGACUGCUAAUACCGCAUGAUGCAUGAUCAGGGCAUCCUGGGCAUGCCAAAGAUUUAUCGCUGAAAGAUGGCCUCGCGUCUGAUUAGCUGGUUGGUGAGGUAACGGCCCACCAAGGCGACGAUCAGUAGCCGGACUGAGAGGUUGACCGGCCACAUUGGGACUGAGAUACGGCCCAG